RNAcentral lists this ribosomal RNA (438 nucleotides) under uncultured bacterium. Its description in RNAcentral is "partial 16S ribosomal RNA". It matches the Rfam family "Bacterial small subunit ribosomal RNA", at positions 339 to 795 of the family's 1533-position model. The record is from RNAcentral.
CUACGGGGGGCACCAGUGAGGAAUAUUGCACAAUGGGGGAACCCUGAUGCAGCAACGCCGCGUGGAGGAUGACGCAUUUCGGUGUGUAAACUCCUUUUAUAUGUCAAGAAAAUGACGGUAGCAUAUGAAUAAGCACCGGCUAACUCCGUGCCAGCAGCCGCGGUAAUACGGAGGGUGCAAGCGUUACUCGGAAUCACUGGGCGUAAAGGACGCGUAGGCGGGUUGGAAAGUCAGGUGUGAAAUCCUACAGCUUAACUGUAGAACUGCACUUGAAACUUCUAAUCUAGAGUAUGGGAGGGGGAGAUGGAAUUAGUGGUGUAGGGGUAAAAUCCAUAGAUAUCACUAGGAAUACCUAAAGCGAAGGCGAUCUCCUGGAACAUUACUGACGCUAAGGCGUGAAAGCGUGGGGAGCAAACAGGAUUAGAUACCCCGGUAGUC